RNAcentral lists this small RNA (52 nucleotides) under Celeribacter baekdonensis. RNAcentral's name for it is "ffh sRNA". It matches the Rfam family "ffh sRNA". The record is from RNAcentral. Lineage: Bacteria; Pseudomonadati; Pseudomonadota; Alphaproteobacteria; Rhodobacterales; Roseobacteraceae. RNAcentral also lists the same sequence under 1 other name.
GAGUGCCAGGAUCGCCCCCCGUCAGCGUUAUACGCCCACGGGGGCGGAACCG